RNAcentral lists this long non-coding RNA (11613 nucleotides) under Populus trichocarpa (black cottonwood). Its description in RNAcentral is "long non-coding RNA (PTRI_LNC001743)". The record is from RNAcentral. Lineage: Eukaryota; Viridiplantae; Streptophyta; Magnoliopsida; Malpighiales; Salicaceae.
AAGGUUUGAAGACAGAUUGUGCCGGCAACAAACUAACGGUGACGGGGAAAGUGGACCCAGCAAAAAUCAAAGCCAGGCUUGAAGAGAAGACCAAGAGGAAAGUCGAGAUUAUCUCUCCCCAACCUAAGAAAGACGAUGGUGCCGCCGCCAAAGUUAUUUCCGUUUACAAGCUGGACAUGUAUUGUGAAGGCUGUGCCAAGGAAAUUAGACACGCCGUUAAACAUUUAGAAGGUGAUUUUUAUUUAUUUAUAGCAACUAACAUUUAGCAAUCUAAGAAUUAAUCUAUCUGAGUUUGAUUUUCCGGUUGCUAAGACGAUGUUUUUGUGGGUUUAUUCAGGCGUGGAAGGUUUGAAGACAGAUUGUGCCGGCAACAAACUAACGGUGACGGGGAAAGUGGACCCAGCAAAAAUCAAAGCCAGGCUUGAAGAGAAGACCAAGAGGACUUGGAAAGUCGAGAUUAUCUCUCCCCAACCUAAGAAAGACGAUGGUGCCGCUGCAAAAAUCAAAGCCAGGCUUGAAGAGAAGACCAAGAGGAAAGUCGAGAUUAUCUCUCCCCAACCUAAGAAAGACGAUGGUGCCGCUGCAAAAAUCAAAGCCAGGCUUGAAGAGAAGACCAAGAGGAAAGUCGAGAUUAUCUCUCCCCAACCUAAGAAAGACGAUGGUGCCGCUGCAAAAAUCAAAGCCAGGCUUGAAGAGAAGACCAAGAGGAAAGUCGAGAUUAUCUCUCCCCAACCUAAGAAAGACGAUGGUGCCGCUAAGAAACCCGAAAAGAAACCGGAGGGGAAUAAGGAAGAAGCGAAAAAACCACCUCCAGAGGUAAAUAAAUAAAUAAAUUACUGCCUACUAAGAUUUAAUCGUGAAUAUAGACGUUGAUUAUCCUUUUGUUUUCUAUUGUUAGUACUUUUUAACUAAUUUUUAAUAACUCUUGGUAGUUGCAGAGUACCGUCGUUUUGAAAAUCAGGCUGCACUGUGAAGGUUGCAUUUCAAAAAUAAAGAAAACCAUCUCCGAAAUCAAAGGUAAUUAGUUAAUUAUACAUUUGAUUAUUACAUCAAACUAACAUAUUAAAUCUGAAUAUUCAAAGUCGGUGGCAAAAUAGUAAACAAAUAGAUGGCUGACGUGGCUAAUUAAAAACAGGUGUGGGCAGCGUGACUGUGGACGCGGCGAAGAAUCUGGUCACUGUGAAGGGAACAAUGGAUGUGAAGGACUUGGCACCGUACCUAAAAGAGAAAAAAGGAUAGCAGUGGAGGCGGUUCCACCGAAAAAGGAGGAAGAGAAGAAAGACAAAGCAGGCAGCGGAGACAGCGCGGUCCUGAUUGCCUGCCUUGUAUUCUUAAUUACACGUGCUGUGGUGUUAUUAAUUACAUAGAACCCUUGGUGCUGCAACAAAUGGCAGUGGUGGUGUCUGCCUGUCUGGUGUGCGUUGAGUUCGUUCCAAUAAUACAUCAUUUUAGGUUGCUAUUUCGGUAUGCAGGGUUCCGAACCCUUUAUUGAAGCAGAUUGAUUUUCAAUCUAGGUGGUAAUAUAUGUUGGGAAAAUUAAGAGUCUGAUUGUAUAGAACAGCAAGGGAUUAUUCAAUAUACGUGCUCUGCUUGAUUUUGAUAUGUUGUCUGCAUGCAUGGAAAUUACAUAUUCUGUGCAAGUAGUUCCUCCAGAAUGUUUAAUAAACAACAAAUUAAUAUAGAAUACUAUAAUAGUUGUAUGAACCUAAAGGUUUUUGUCAAGGACAAUCAAAUUGGGAUAAAGAAACGCAUAAAAAGGGAUAUGCGCUAUUCAAAUGCAAAAACAGCACGACUCUGCUGCAUCAGGCCUUAGUGCAACACGACGAUUUCCACGAUCUUCAAAACAAUAUAACUGCACAAAGAAAGUGAAAAAAAAGUGAUGGGAUUUAAAAAUUUAAAAUACCAGAACCUGCCACUUAAUUAAGCACUUGAUAGCUUCUUUAAGUUAAGUUGCAGUCUAUUAAACAAUACAAUUGUUAAAAAGAAACGAAAUACACACACACACACCUGGUCUCUGAUUUCCUCUCCAGCUUUCCUUAUAAACAGUGCCUCCGAUUCUAACACCGGAUAAUCAACCUCCUCGAACCCAAACAGUCGCGACACCUAAAAACCAACAAAAGCAUGUUAAAUUAGUAAGUAUUACAUGGAGAUAGAUAUGUUUUAUUUAUAAUAUAGACAGAGGUCUGACCUCUUUGAAAUUGUGAAAGAGCCAGCCGCGGAGGCGCAUUUCUUCUGGAGGGAAAUCUCUGGUACCUUUAGGAGGAUUGACAUCAAUUUUCUGCACUGAAUUUUCGAGUACCGGCGGACCAGCCAGCGCGGCCGACCUUUCUCCUCCGCCGCCACUGCCAUUCUCCGAUGCGGAAAGUGCAGUUGCUACAGAAGAGAGAGUUCUAGGGUUAAACGGAAUCAACUGGCUGGAGAGAGGAAAUUUAGGGGCUGAAAUAGAGAAGUAACUGAGAGAAAAGAAGUUAGGUUUUAGAUAAUGGUUCAGGCUCGGGUGGAAUAUAUGAAGAGAAGAUGGAAAUGGAGGCAUGGCGAAAACAAGGGAAGGGAAGGGAACACUUCGCUUGGCCACUCUACUCUGCUUGUUUUACUUUGCUGGAGCCUGGAGGGGAAGAAGAUAGUGUUUUUCUUUUUCUUUUUCUUUUUCUUUUUAAAUGGGCCGGUCCUUAAAGGAAUAGGCUAACUAACUUAGAAUAGUUGAUGGGCUGGGAGUUAUCGAGAUUGUCAUGGACUGGCUGCAUCCUGAGGAGCAGGCCUACAAUCCUACAUCACAUAUGCUCAUGGGCCCAUUUGAUAUUUUCUUCAUAUUUUCAUAAUUUUGAAAACAGCUUUUUUUAUAUAUAAAAAAAGACAGAAAAUAGUGGUAGAACAAAAGGUUCCAGGAACACGAACAAAAUUAUAAAAAACUUGGUAUGAAUGGAGAAAGUUUAGAAUACGCCAGAUAAUUAGUUCAUGGGUCGGGUCAUUUUUAACGUAUAAAAAAUAUUUUUAUGUUGUUAAUUUUUUUUUUCUAAUAGAAAAGAAAUUAAACCACGUUGGAAUUGAUUUGAUACCACUCAAUCGCUUUGACUAGUUAAAAAGCAAUUUGGAUAACUAGUAAAAACAUAGUUUGACUCAAAAUAAAUAUUUUAAUGAGUUUUUUAAUAAAUACUAAGACAACAAUAUAUUAAAUUGAUUUGGGUCAACCUAAGUUAAUUUUUCAAUUUGUAUACUAAGUCAUGAGAUCAUGAUAACCCCAUGGAAAGAAACUGAAAAUAAAUUGUGAAGCUCAAUUUUUAAUAAACUCAAUGUUGAAGCAAGAGACUGGAAAAAAAAUCAAUUAAAAAAAGACCCUAAAAAUAACUUGAGUCAACAUGCUAAAUCCGCAAUCCUGGUUAUGAGAUCAUUAUAACUCAACAGAAAAAAAAUCAAAAUAAAUUAUGAAAUUUAAUUCUCAAUCAACUUAGUGUUGAAAGAUGAAAUUAAGAAAAUUGAAUAAAAAGUACAUAAAAAACGAUAUGUCAAUCCUGUAAUCCAAGUCAUGACAUGUAAAUAAAUUCAUAAAAAGUAGACCGAAAUAUAUCAUGAAAUGUAAUUCCUAAUAAACAUGAAGUUAAAGGAUGUUGAGAGGAAAAAAAAAGUCAAUUAGGAAAAUGAAGAAAACUCGAGCGAACUCGUUAAACCCAAAGUCCAAGUUAUGAGUUUGAGAUAACUUCAUAAAAAAUAAUUUCAAAAAAAAUAAAGUUCAAUCCCUAACAAAUCUAAUGUUGAAGUAUGAGAUUAAAAUUAAAAAAAAAUAUUAUUCAUGUGAAUAAUAUUACGUGAGGAGGAGAACAAUAAAACUCCCUCCUCUUUUAGGUUUUUGUUAAUAUAUGUAUAAAAGUUAGCAUUACUAUUUAUCUAUGAGCUAUUCAUAAAUAAAUAAAUAAAAAGAAUAUACAACCAACAUUUAUUGGAAAUUGUUAAAAACAUAUUAAUGAUGUCAUUAUUCUAUAUUGGAUAGAAAAUGAGGAUUUUAGUCGUUUACAAGCACAAAAUGCAUUUUUCUCUAUAAGAGAUGUCUUUUAAAAUGACAAAACUCGUUAUGUGGUUCUAGUGGAAAAAUACCUCUCGAUAGAUCUACCAUGUGUGGGUAUGGACACACAUCAUCAUUAACAUUAUAUGUGAAAACAUCAACCAUAUACGAUUACCCAAGCUCCUUGCCUGAGAGCUAUAAUAAUAUCACUAUUUCAUAUCGAUUAAAAAACAAGGGUAUUAGUUCCUUAUAAGCACAAAAGACAUAUUUCUCUCCAAUAAAUGUAUUUUAAAAGAACAAAACUCACCAUGUGUUUCUAAUAAAACACUACAUCUUGAAGAACUUAUCACGUUUGGGUGUGAACAUAUAUAAUCACAUAAUAUUUUCAAUAUUGUUUGUUACGCGGCUUGGCAUAAAUGAAGGCUAAAAAAUGCCAAUAUUAAACAAGUCAUGUAAGUACGUUAACUGAAAAUUUUACUUUCAGUGCAAAUUAUCAAUUACCCUGAUUUGUUAUAAUUAAUGACUAGCAUAUUGUAUCAUGCUCAGGUUAAUAAUAUUUUUUUAAAAAUAUAAAAAAAUAUAAAAAGAAAAAAAAAUUUAUCAAACGCUUUGAAUCUAGUAUCAAUGUUAGGCUCAAUAUUAUUGGGUUCUGGUGACAGCAUGGCCCAUAUCUAAAAAAAAAUCCAACCAACUAAUCUCAAAUGAAAAAAAAAUUAUUAUUUAUUUUUUAUACCAAAUAAAAAAAUUUCAUCCAUUUAUUUUUUAAUAUGAAUAUUGUAGCAGGACUUUCAAAUAUGUCCAAGAGAUGCAAUGCAGAAGUAAACAAUCUCGAGAAAUUUGAUGGAAGGUUCUUGAAAGAUUGUCACGUUUAAAGAUAGAAACAGUAGCAGCCUGGCAUUCUCUCAUGGCUUGUGGCCCGCAUUGUUAGGUCCUCACAAAGAUGAUGGCUUUUAUUGACUCGUGGGCCCCCCAGUGGUUACACGACAGUUCCUGCCCUGCCAAUUGGAAAAAAAAUCCCGAAAAUGCGAUGCAAAUCUGGUCACAUGCAGAGCAUCGUUUUGGCUGGUGAAUGGUAUGCUCCACGCCAUGAUUUAGAUGGUGCGGAGGAGAGGGGGGGAGUGGGAGGAAAGAAAGUGGAAAAAAGGAAUUAAAGUUGGAAUUCCAAAACAUUUAAAAUGAAAAUACUUUUCCUUGUUCCUGAUUUUCUUUCCUCCCGUUUGUGUUCCAUCAAACGUGAUUUAGGAUUCGAAUCUUUACAAGAUUUCAAGAAAAUAUAUUUUCCUUACAGACAUGCAAAAUUUCCAGCAUAAAUAUAUCCUUGCAAGAACAAAGAUACGAGAGAAAUUCAAUAAGAGAAAAGCUAGAGAAAAUUCACUAAGAUACCAAUGAAAAAAAAACAAAAAACAUUUUUUUUUUAAUUUGCUUGAUAUGAUUUAUGUUCAACUAAAGGGUUGUAUGAUAUUUAAAUGAGGUUCUAUUUUUUGAAAGUAGAAAAAAAAAAUUGAUAGCCUUCUAAAAGCUAUAUAUAUACAUAUAUUGUUUUCUAAAAUGCGAGUUUAAUUAGUGAGUUGAAGAAUGUUUUUGACAAAUAUCAUCUUUAUUUGUUAUUUUAUCAUACAUUAAAUCAUUUUAUCCUACCAGUAGAGUCUCUUUCAAGGUUACAACAUUUGUUUUUUUAAUAGAAAAACAUACCAUAUGAAUUAUAUUUUUACCUCUUUUUGUAUUUUUUAUCCUUAUCAUCAAUAUGUACAAAUGUUUGUUUAUAAUUUUUCAUGCAUUAAGAUAUUACUCUAUCGUUGUGAGUAAACCUAGGUUAUAUCGAUGUAACAUCACCAAAGUCCUUUUUGAGUAUGAGUAAAGAUUUUCAGGCUCAUUUUAGGUUCAAUGAAAUAUAAUGGGUUUGAAGUCCAACUUAUCAAACUCGUAUCAUUAUCUCAGGAUUAACAAUCUCUCACCAUAAACACACAUUUACUAUUUUAUUUCAACUUGACAAGAGCACUAUAAAUAUUUUUAUAAUUAAAAACAAACAUAAUGUAGAUAUAUAUAUAUAUUAUCUUUUCUAUUAUAUAAUCAUCUCAUUUAUUUAUAACUCUAAAGGCUAAUUAGAAUUUCUAAUUAAUAUAAAAUUAGGUGACGACUAUUAUUUUAAAUUUCAUUCUAUAAAUCCUAAAAUAAUUAUGAUUAUCGAGAUGUCUUUCAUGACAUAUCUAAUGGAUUUUUAUACAAAACAAAUCUAAUAUAUACCCCCCUCUCUCUCUCUCUCUCUAUAUAUAUAUAUAUAUAUAAUUUUCAAGUCUUAAUUGUCGUGAAAGAGCCUUAAAAUCAUAAAAUAUAUAUUUGGUAUUGCAGUGUAAAGUGUUUUUCAAUUGAAAAUAUAUUAAAAUAAAUAUUUUUUUAUAUUUUUUUAUCUUUGAUAUCAACACAUCAAACCCAUACAAAAAUAUUUUAAAAAAUCAUGAAUUUAAUAUUUUUCAUGUUAAAAUCAAUUAAAAUAGGAGAAUGUUAUAACUAAAAAACAGGCGCAUCUUAAAGAUUUAUUUGAGAUUAUGGUAGUGAUGGCGAUUCAAAGUGUUUUUUGUUUGAAAAUGCAUUAAAAUUAAAUUUUUUAUUUUUUAAAAAUUAUUUUUGAUAUUAACACAUUAAAAUGAUCUGAAAACAUAAAAUAAUUAUUUUAAGUAAAAUAUUUCAUGAGAGCACGAGUUAUACCGUAUUUCAAAACAUGAUUUAAGUCCUAAUAUGCACCUUUCACACACACACACGUGUGUGUGUGUAAUUUUCAAAGACUCACAAGGACAUUGUAUGGAUGCAUGGUGUUUGGAAUUUGUUAGUCAGCCCACGAUAUUUCUUGGAAAUUUCUUGUGCUACUUUUGGAAACGUGGCUGCGGCUGCGUUUGUGUUUCUAAAAAUUUUAAAUUUUUUUUUUACUAAAAUUUAAUAUGGUUUGUAUGUUUUGAAUCGUUUUAAUGUGCUGAUAUCAAAAAUGAUUUUUAAAAAAUAAAAAAACAUCAUUGGCAUGCAUUUUGACACGAAAAGUUAUUUGAAAAGCACCCGCAACCACAUUGCCAAACACGCUAUUCCCUUGACAUGUAAAUUGAGAUCUGGGCAUGAGAUCCUCGUUCCUUCUUUAUUUUUCCUCGUAAUCCAUGAGAUCCUCAUUCUUGUUUUUUAUUUGAUAGCGUAAAGUAUUAAAUAUCCAUCGUGCAAGUGAAAUGUCAUUUUUAUAUAAAUAAGAAGAUAUUUUUUGUUAGAAAAAAUAUUAAUUUUUUUAAAAAUAUAUUUUUAACAUAACAUAUUAAAACAAUCUAAAAUUAUUAAAAUAUUAAUUUUAAAUAAAAAAAUUAAAUUAAUAAAAAAUACAAUUUCAAUCAAGUUUCGAGUUGUGAAGCUGCCGUUUGGUAAUGUGGUUGCGGGUGGACUUCACCCGCAGCCACAGAUAUUACCUUUUGGUUAAAGAAAAAACAUAGGUUUAUGCUGGUAGGACCCACCAAAAAUAUGGUUGUGCCGCAGGUUUUAUAGAAGCACAAUUUUAUUGCUUCUCGUGGGGGAGGAAUCACUGAACAGUGGAGCCAUGCUUCAUUGUCGCACUGUUCAUUAAAGUGAAUAGUUUUUUUCUUUCAAAAAACAAAUGCAGUGAAUUGAUUUCACUCGCACUGUUCACGUGAACAGUAAUUUGUUUUUUGUUUUUUAAAAGAAUUAGUUUAAGGUGAAUUAAAUUUACUCACACUGUAAUCUCAAUUUUAUUCCUGAUAAUAUUUUACCAAAUUUUAUUGCACGCUAAAAAAGGCAUGGAAAUUAUAGUUCUUGCCGGAUGAAUUUUGUACGUAAUAGAAUUGUACAUAGUUUAAUGGAACAAUAAAAAAUAUUUUAUAUAAAGUAUUAUUUAUUUCAUGAUGUAAUAGUAGUAGUUAAAUCUACAAUAUUUAAAUUAAAAACCAUCAAUAUUGUUAUAUAUAUUUUUUAAUUAUUUUAUAACCUCAAUUUGAAAAACAUUUUUUUAACCAAACACUUUAAACUAUUUUUUAUUUAAUCUCAAUUUUAAUCAUAGUUUUAACUAAACAUAUAUUUUAUCAAAACAACAUCAAUUAAAAACAUUUUUUAUAAAAUAUUAUUUUUUAAAUCCCAACCACAUCAGUUACUGUAAUUUCAAACACUCAUAAGAGUCCGAGGAAGGUAUCGCACUAGGAUUGAUGUUGACUCAUCUACAGUGGCCUAGGAUUUUCCUCCGUGUAUUUCGUGCAAUGGAAUCAAAGGUCUAAAACCGUGGGAGACCAUUUCGAUCUACCCAAGGUAGAUUGAUUACGUCAUUGAUGCUGUAAGCUUCCCUUAGCAAAGUCAAAUGCAAUGCCCUUGAAGAUUUGACAGUGGCUCCAUAAAGGGCUUGAAAUUGAAAGCCACUAUGGAUAAGAAAGAGUGUCCGCCUUUCUUUCGUCGAUGUAAUAAUAAUUUUGGCAUUCUUGGUCCUCAAACAAUUAUUGUUGCCUCGAGGCUCGCUGCCAGCACUGCCAUCAUGCAUGCCUUGCGGCAUGGCCUCGAAGAUGCUGAUGCCGCCACUGUCAUCUACGAGACCCCUUUUUAAUGCAUUUCUAUCUUUAUGCUAAGUUGCAGCUGAUAUUUCUAGGGCAAAAAUCAAAAGCUCCACGCCUUUCCAAGCUUUGCUUGUAUUUUAACAGUUGGAUCUCGUGCCCAUUAAAAUUAGAUUUGAUCACUUAGAUUAAGAGACGUGUGGUCUUGUGAUAGCAUUAUUUUUAAAAUAUUUUUAUAAAAAUUUAUUUUUAAUGCUAAUAUAUCAAAAUAAUUUAAAAACAUAAAAAAAAAUUAAAUAUUUUUAAAAGUGAACAAACUGAUUUUUUAAAAGGAUGUUUGAAGCAGCGGUAAAUACUUCAAAAUAAUAUUUUUUAUUUUUUAAAAUUUAUUUUUAAUAUUAUCACAUCAAAACAUAAAAACAUCAUAUCAAAAUUCCGGUUCAAUCACCGGCUGAACUCCACCCUGAGCACGAAGGAAAGAUAAUUAGGAGAAAAGGUCAAGUUUUUAACAGGGAGGAACAUGACAUUUGCACCAAAUCCAACUUAUUUGAAGAAAAGAAAAAUUUGAAAGUUUGACGAUAUCAAAUUACUUACCUGGUACUAGUUUUUUAAUCAUAUAAUUAUUAUUAUUUAAACCAAGGAAGAAUUUCAAGACUUGUACUUAGUAUUCGUAUUUGACUGUUAUUAGGGGUGGGAAUAUCUAGAGCAACACACUUAAAUAAGAUGCCAAUCCACUAAAAUUAAACAGACAGCUCAGGUAAUACAAAUUCCACAACAAGGUGACUUGGAAUUCUCAACGUCAAGAAAAAUUAAAAAUAAAACAAGAAAAUAGAAAAAAAAAACCCAAAUACGACAACAGCAAGUAAAUACCAAAUAAAAUUAUUAUAUUAUAAUUGAUGCGGUUUUACUUUCCUAUGAACGGGUCUUUUAUGGUCCUUUUAUUUUUGUAUUUAAAAAAAAUAUUUUUUUUUACUUUAAAUAAUUUUUUUAUGUUUUUAGAUUAUUUUGAUGUGCUAAUAUCAAAAAUAAUUUUUUAAAAAUAAAAAAAAUAUUAUUUUAAUAUAUUUCCAAACAAAAAACACUUUCAAAAAUAACUAUUACCACAUCCUCAAACAUCUUCUUUAAAAUUAACGGCACCAACCACGACAAAAGCAUAACUUUUGUGGCAAUGUAGCAACCAAUAAUUCUUUUUUUUAUAUUUUAGAAGUGUUUUUUUAAUUUAUUUUUUAAUUUUAAAUUAUUUAUAAAUUAUUUUAAUAUUCUGAUAUCAAAAAUAAUUUUUUAAAAAUAAAAAAUAUAUUAUUUUAAUAUAUUUUUAAAGUAAAAAACAUUUAACCAUUCCUUUAAAAUUGACUGUGCCAACCACAGCAAACGCAUAACUUUUCUGGCACCGUAACAACCAGCAAUUGCCUCUCCCACCACCGCCUGUCUGAUGACAAUCGAGUCCGUUUUAACUGACCCGUCAUGGUCAAGUAAAAAGCCAGAUGAUUUGUCACGAAUGCCGUCGUUUCUAGACAAUUGUUUUGUCCACCAAGGCGGCACAAACCAUAAAACUCCUUUCUCUCUCUCCUCGCCCACCAGUGCUGACCUCAUUCUAAAAGUCUCCAUCAUCAUCCAUCAUUCAUCAAAAUACCAUCAUCACCAUCCAUAAACAUACAUAACCCAUCCUCUUGUUUCGCAUACGUUCCACCAACCUACCCCUUUUCUCCUCUCUAUAUAUUCGCCUUGUUUGCCUCCAAUUUACAUCUUCAAAAACAAUUCCAAUAACCAACAACGAGUUGCCAGUGAAAAAGAAAAAAAAACCUUGAUGGGUGCCGAGGUUAGUUAAAACCCACUAGCUCACUCACUCUCCGUUCUUCAAUUUUAAUUUAUUCCUUGCUUAAUUUGGCUUAAUUUGUUGUUUCGAGCAGAAAGAAGGUGCGAAGGUUGAAGCCGAGAAGAAGCCCGCUGCUGAUGCUGGUGAAAAGAAAGAUGAGGCCAAAGUUAUUUCCGUUUACAAGCUGGACAUGCAUUGUGAAGGCUGUGCCAAGAAAAUUAGACACGCCGUUAAACAUUUAGAAGGUGAUUUUUAUUUAUUUAUAGCAACUAACAUUUAGCAAUCUAAGAAUUAAUCUAUCUGAGUUUGAUUUUCCGGUUGCUAAGACGAUGUUUUUGUGGGUUUAUUCAGGCGUGGAAAGUUUGAAGACAGAUUGUGCCGGCAACAAACUAACGGUGACGGGGAAAGUGGACCCAGCAAAAAUCAAAGCCAGGCUUGAAGAGAAGACCAAGAGGAAAGUCGAGAUUAUCUCUCCCCAACCUAAGAAAGACGAUGGUGCCGCUGCUGGUGGUGGCGAUAAAAAGGCCGAUGAGAAACCCGAAAAGAAACCGGAGGGGAAGAAGGAAGAAGCGAAAAAACCACCUCCAGAGGUAAAUAAAUAAAUUACUGCCUACUAAGAUUUAAUCGUGAAUAUAGACGUUGAUUAUCCUUUUGUUUUCUAUUGUUAGUACUUAUUAACUAAUUUUUAAAAACUCUUGGUGGUCGCAGAGUACCGUUGUUUUGAAAAUCAGGCUACACUGUGAAGGUUGCAUUUCAAAAAUAAAGAAAAUCAUCUCCAAAAUCAAAGGUAAUUAGUUAAUUAUACAUUUGAUUAUUAGAUCUAACUAACAUAUUAAAUCUGAAUAUUCAAAGUCGGUGGCAAAAUAGUAAAGAAUAGAUGGCUGACGUGGCUAAUUAAAAACAGGUGUGGGCAGCGUGACUGUGGACGCGGCGAAGGAUCUGGUCACGGUGAAGGGAACAAUGGACGUGAAGGACUUGGCACCGUACCUAAAAGAGAAACUAAGGAGAGCAGUGGAGGUGGUUCCUCCGAAAAAGGAGGAAGAGAAGAAAGACAAAGCAGGCGGCGGAGACGGUGGGGAUAAAAAGGAGAACAAAGCGGCCCCCGCUGAUGGUGGCGGCGAGAAGAAAGAGAAAGGGGGGGAAGCGAAAGGUGAAGAGAAGAAGAAAGAAGGGGAUGGAGGGAAGAAGGAGGAGGCUGCUGGUGCUAAGGUGGAGGUGAGCAAGAUGGAGUAUUCUGGAUAUCCAGGUCCAGCACCUACUUUCUGGUUUGAUGGGGU